AUCGUCUCCAAUCUUCGGACCACCAGGCAAGCGAAUCCCUAUUCGCCUCAGAGGCGGAGCAGAAGGCACAGUCAGCGACCGCAGUAGGAGCGUUAUGUCAGCAGGAGUACCUGAGGAAAGACAAAAAUGGCACGGUUUACUGAAGAAGUGACGAACUCUUACUUUCACGUCAAGAAAUGGAGACUAACUGCAGCUGACUGGAUUCGACUAUAUUCGUGCUUGACUUGAUUUAUGAAGUACAGCCUUGAGAAUAAGGUGAAAAGAAUCGUUCGACACCUGGAAAAAAAAUUAGAUUUUGCUCCUUACGAUUUCUUUCGGUCUGAGAAGAGGAUGUCUCCUUCCUAUUGUGAGCACAGUGACGACUUACUUCAUCGUUUAAGAUUUCGGAAAGACCACCGGAGAGUAAAGAUAAUUAUAGUCUCUGGUGAAACCCAAAGUCCAAAUAUUCACAGCAGUUAGGAUUUGCCAUCCAAUUGCAUUGCUGCUGUGGAGGAAGACGUCUGAUAUACAUGUUGCACGAAAUUAGUGAUAAUAACCAAAUUAAAAUGAUAAUACUAAUGGAAAUAUGUUACUGUCAACAUCAUUUUUAUAAUAAGUAGUGAAAAAGACGGAGAUGAAGUGAGAGGAUACUCGUAGCUAGUGUUUACACAAAUAUUUGAUGAUGUGGGAUUACGCAAACACAAUUAUUUCUUGCAACCGUUGGUGGCAUGAUGUAGGUGAGAACUCAUUUGCCGUUUUAUGGUAUUAUGUUUAUGAAAUUCAAGGAUAAUGAAGUUGUUUUACAUUUUCGUUUGUAAACAGAUAUUCUGAUAUGCUGUUGAAGGAUUGUUUUUGUAAGUUGUAUGUCGUGUAUAUAUGUGACCUGUGUCUCCUCAUGCUCGAGGUUGGAGUGUGUUCGUACUCAUGCUGUGAACACAGACACGGCUGUGGUUGAUUCUGAUCACGUUUUGUUCUGACUUCCUUUAGCCACAACAGGCGUCUCAGUCUGUUUUUGUAGAAUAAAUGUAGCAACGAAAUCUCACCUAUUGAAUAGACUCUCGAACAGGACACAUGCUCUUCAUAAGACGAAGCCGCAACUUACCUCAAUUUUGCAAUGAACUGCCCACACUUACAAUGGAACCUGGUUCCUUCAUUCGUGUCUUGAAUCAUGCAAAUAUUGCUAUAAGGAUCUUAGUGGCUUAGGUACCUUAGGGUCGUUUGGGGAAACAAGAUAAAUUUAUCUUGUUAUGCACUCCAUUAGUACCUACGAGAAGUUUAUAUGAAAUGGGAUAUGAUUUAAAAUCAAAGAUCCGUAAAUCCUGAACGAAAACUCACAAUUCAUUGUCUGAAGAACCUUAUCAUGACGAGUAAAACUUGUGAAAGCUACUGAAUUAUAAUGAGUAAAGUAAGAUUAAUUGAUUAUAGGUCAUUGUUCUCUCUGUUCUAUAAUGUGAAUGACUGUAAAACAUCUAUAAAAUAAUUUAAAAAUUAUAAGCUGCUAGUUUAUUCGAAGGUUGAGUUAGAUGUUGGGAUCUUAUGCAACUUUUGUGGAUAAUGCCAAAUAACCAAAGCACUUGUAAAUGUUUCUCUCUUUAAUUAAAUGCUACUACCUGAGGUAUCUCAGUUCUACCUCAAAUCUGAUCUUCUUCAGUAAAGUAAUUUUCUU
Macrobrachium nipponense is the source of this 1645-nucleotide long non-coding RNA. RefSeq lists it as uncharacterized. Lineage: Eukaryota; Metazoa; Arthropoda; Malacostraca; Decapoda; Palaemonidae. The transcript is spliced from 4 exons. The record is from RefSeq and is a predicted model, not a curated record.